GGUCCCGUAGCUCAACGGAUAGAGCAGCGCGCUUCGAACGCGAAGGUUGCGGGUUCAAGUCCUGCCGGGACCGCCA
Molecule: transfer RNA, 76 nt
Filed under: Alphaproteobacteria bacterium
Lineage: Bacteria; Pseudomonadati; Pseudomonadota; Alphaproteobacteria
Also listed under: 2 other names
Description: tRNA-Arg
Rfam family: tRNA
About the family: Transfer RNA (tRNA) molecules are approximately 80 nucleotides in length.
Source: RNAcentral